UAUGAGUCACAGCAUCUCGAUGAAUCACAACAGCUUCCUGUCUCACCACCAGUGUCAAAUCACAGAGAGAAAAUCAGUUGUGUUCUGUCAGCAUGUGAGAAUAAGUCAUUAGUCCAAUAUCCUUUUCCCUGAGGGUGUGUUGUAGCAGUCAGAGUGCUGCUGACUCUCCAUGGCUCACCAAUGGUUAAUUCAGCCCCCUUGAGGGAUUUGUACAAGCCUGCUGGGCCAGGGUACAGGGUCAAGCCUGUUUAAGUCAUGUGCACUGUCUUGGCUGGGCAUUAUUUGUAAAUUAUUUUGUAAAUAAUGUUUCUGCAACCGUAUCUUACAGCAAAAAAAGAGCUUCUGGAUAUCAGGACAGCGAUCACUGACCUCAGACUAGACAAAGAGCUUCUGGAUAUCAGGACAGCGAUCACUGACCUCGGACUAGACAAAGAGCUUCUGGAUAUCAGGACAGCGAUCACUGACCUCAGACUAGACAAAGAGCUUCUGGAUAUCAGGACAGCGAUCACUGACCUCAGACUAGACAAAGAGCUUCUGGAUAUCAGGACAGCGAUCACUGACCUCAGACUAGACAAAGAGCUUCUGGAUAUCAGGACAGCGAUCACUGACCUCAGACUAGACAAAGAGCUUCUGGAUAUCAGGACAGCGAUCACUCACCUCAGACUAGACAAAGAGUUUCUGGAUAUCAGGACAGAGAUCACUGACCUCAGACUAGACAAAGAGCUUCUGGAUAUCAGGACAGCGAUCACUGACCUCAGACUAGACAAAGAGCUUCUGGAUAUCAGGACAGCGAUCACUGACCUCAGACUAGACAAAGAGCUUCUGGAUAUCAGGACAGCGAUCACUGACCUCAGACUAGACAAAGAGCUUCUGGAUAUCAGGACAGCGAUCACUGACCUCAGACUAGACAAAGAGCUUCUGGAUAUCAGGACAGCGAUCACUGACCUCAGACUAGACAAAGAGCUUCUGGAUAUCAGGACAGCGAUCACUGACCUCAGACUAGACAAAGAGCUUCUGGAUAUCAGGACAGCGAUCACUGACCUCAGACUAGACAAAGAGCUUCUGGAUAUCAGGACAGCGAUCACUGACCUCAGACUAGACAAAGAGCUUCUGGAUAUCAGGACAGCGAUCACUCACCUCAGACUAGACAAAGAGCUUCUGGAUAUCACGACAGCGAUCACUGACCUCAGACUAGACAAAGAGCUUCUGGAUAUCAGGACAGCGAUCACUCAUUCUCCGAACACCCGACAAGGUCAAGAUCCCAGUUAUUUGCAAGAGGAAGAGAUGCAGGUACAGAGGACACAGAGCAGGGU
This 1313-nucleotide long non-coding RNA is filed under the name Oncorhynchus kisutch (coho salmon). RNAcentral's name for it is "lncRNA (ENSOKIG00005048964.1)". Lineage: Eukaryota; Metazoa; Chordata; Actinopteri; Salmoniformes; Salmonidae. The record is from RNAcentral.